RNAcentral lists this ribosomal RNA (301 nucleotides) under uncultured bacterium. RNAcentral describes it as "partial 16S ribosomal RNA". It matches the Rfam family "Bacterial small subunit ribosomal RNA", at positions 509 to 807 of the family's 1533-position model. The record is from RNAcentral.
CAGUCGCCACGGGAACACGGAGGGCGCGAGCGUUACCCGGAUUUACUGGGCGUAAAGGGCGUGUAGGCGGCCUGGGGCGUCCCAUGUGAAAGGCCACGGCUCAACCGUGGAGGAGCGUGGGAUACGCUCAGGCUAGAGGGUGGGAGAGGGUGGUGGAAUUCCCGGAGUAGCGGUGAAAUGCGCAGAUACCGGGAGGAACGCCGAUGGCGAAGGCAGCCACCUGGUCCACUUCUGACGCUGAGGCGCGAAAGCGUGGGGAGCAAACCGGAUUAGAUACCCGAGUAGUCCCUGUCUCUUAUAC